This is a long non-coding RNA of Aedes albopictus (Asian tiger mosquito), 1528 nucleotides long. RefSeq lists it as uncharacterized. The record is from RefSeq and is a predicted model, not a curated record. The transcript is spliced from 3 exons. NCBI's taxonomy places the organism in Eukaryota, Metazoa, Arthropoda, Insecta, Diptera, Culicidae.
CGCACCGCUAUCCGUCAAAACGAAAUGUCAACAGCGAUGCGAUGUUUUUCGCAUGCACUUUUGUUGCAGUUCGAUGUUUUACUUAUGCACAUAAACUGCAUUCUGCAGCAACUGACAGUUCUUUGGCGUCUGUCAGUUGUUACAGUUAUCGAAUUUCAUUCGGUUAGUGAAACGUAAACAUGUUGCAGUUAUCGAACGUCUACUGUAUUUAAAAUCUGUUCCAAUUGGCCUCCUAAAAUGAGGUUAGGUUUUGUAAAAUCCCAUUUCGUAUUUUAGUGAUUGAGUCGUUCCAGAUAAAAUUUAAUGUGGGAUCGGGGUCGAGAUCGGGGUAGAAAAAAUCAUUUUAUCGAUAAAUUUACCAAAAAAAUGAAGAUUAAACUGCCACAGCAAAAAAGAAUGUAAUAUGCCUCGAUGUAAUUGUUGAAAAUGUGUAAAAAGUCAGAUGUAACUGUCUUUUUAGAUGUACAAUCACAUUGCUUCGGUGCUAAUUUACAUCUUCCCUGAAAUUACACCAAAAUAAAUUAUCAAUUUUCCUUUACAUCACAUUUGUGUAACAUUUACAUCGAAUUAAUGUGAAUAUUACACAGAAUGAGCUGCAACCAAGUGGUUGCGCUUUAAUUGUGUAGCAUUACACAAAGUCGAUGUCAUAUCGCAUCUUUUAAUGAUGCGAUAUUACAUCUCGCAACACUGCCGGCUUUGUUGUGAUCGUCCAAGCGCAAGGCAAGUGAGCGUCCAUCUUAAGUUUUCGGUGGAAAAAUUAUAGUCAAGACUUUUGCCAGAAAUUUGUUUGUUUUCGAAGAAUAAUUUAACGCGAAGCGGAGUUCCGGACAUCAAAAUUAGCACUUCAUCAUCGUCGAUCUGGAAGCCUAGCUCAACUUGGUGCUCUACGACGAAUCGGCUUCUCUCCGGUGGCUGAACCGGCAACAUCUAUUUCGAGCUAGCUAGUUGGCCAUGUGUGUUACCAGCUGCGGCAAAUAUGCGGUCCAAAUCACCCUCAAGAAUCACAUGCCAACAUAAACACCAAGACUAAGCGCGACUACUUGCCAUUGCCGCUGCGCUGGUGGCGAUUUGACUAUGGUCCAGCGUGUCGUAUCCCCAACACCACCGCCAUCAACGAGAUCUGGUCCAGGCAGUAAACUCCCGCCGAUAUGUCACGUAAACACGAUCCGGACGAUGAUAGAAAGACGACGAAAAACAAUCCGGAAGAUCGUCAGCGGGAGACUUGGAUGAAAAUGAAUUUGGCGAGGCUUGACCGCUCUGAUGAAGGGCUUCGGAAAAGUAAUCCGGAAAAGGAGAACAAUGAUGCAGAUUGACUAUACAGCCGUCUUCAAGUCAGUGUUACAUCACACUGUCGGUGUCGGGAUAAGCGCGGAAUGAGAGAAGCAGCUUGAGGAGCCAUAUAGCCGAACAAGUUAUUGUGCAGGCUCUGACCCAGCUGAGUUGGAAGAAAACGACAGAUGAACCUAGAAUAAUAACAAAUAUAACAAAUCUCUAAAUAAAUACACAAAACAAAUCUGGUUCAAACUUA